RNAcentral lists this long non-coding RNA (497 nucleotides) under Monodelphis domestica (gray short-tailed opossum). RNAcentral's name for it is "lncRNA (ENSMODG00000034684.2)". The record is from RNAcentral. Lineage: Eukaryota; Metazoa; Chordata; Mammalia; Didelphimorphia; Didelphidae.
AUGGCCACUGGAACAAAUCACAUACUUGAGGUAGAUAAGAUAUCUCCCUUACUCACCAACAGAUUUGAGUUAUCCUCAGCCUGUCCAUCUGCUUACGCUGUUUUAAUGGAGUGUGGCCAUUGGGCAUGCUACAGCUUCUUGGAGCCACAGAAUGCCAACAUUGAAACCUGGAAAGACUUAUAUGAACGGAUGCAAAGGGAAGUCAGCAGAACCAGGAGAACAUUGCACAUGGUAAUAGCAAUAUUUGUAUGAUGGUCAACUGUGAAUGACUUAACUCAUUCAAGGAGCCAGGACAACUCCAAGGGAAUCAUGAUGAAAAAGGCUAUCCACCACCAUAGAAGGAACUGACAGAGUCUGAAUGCACAUUAAAACAGACCAUUUUUCCUUCAUGAAUUUUUCCUGUGUGUGCAAUAUGUGUCUCCUUUGCAACAUGACUAAUAAGAAAAUAUAUAUUGCAUGAUAGUAAAUAAGAAACUGUCUGGAAGUGGGGAGGGGAA